GGCCCAGAGGCUGACUCGGGCCAAAGACCUUCUCUACCCUGCUCUCUCUUCUCAUUCCCGCAGACGCCACUGCUCCGGGCCCAGCUUCCGGCCCUCCUGGAGGGGCUUUAUAUUGAAGAAGAGGAGUCCCUCUUGGCAGCCAUGGCCACAGUGACCAGGGUGGCCCGCAGCCUGGGGCAGAAGGGUCUGGAGACUUUUCGCCCAGACAUCGCUUUCCUGCUGGGCCCCUAUAUCGGCGACAGAGAGCUCCAGUGCGCACUGCCGCCUUGGAGAUGCUCACCGCCGUGGCCCACGGUGGGGUCGGGGAGAAGCAAACUGGCCCCCGACAGGAAUUGAUCCGUCGUAUCCUGCCAGUCCUCGUCCAUAUGAGGGAUGAGGACGCCGCCGUACGGAAAAAAGCCAGAGCGACGGUUUUUUGCCUGGCCGACAACCUGGGAUGGACGAAUAUUAAAUCUGUGAGCCAGAAAUUGAUGGGGGAGUAGGGAUUGCGUGGGGCCUCGUACGCCAUCUGGUCUUAUAUGGUGAGUGGGCUCAGGACAGUCGGGAGCAGGCCCCGGGGGCUCCGGUGGGAAACGCGGGGAGACCCCCGGCUUCCAGAAAGAGGUUGCCGGGACUGAGGUAGAAACAGCACUGGGACGGGGCGGGCAGGAGCCCGGAAGGGCUGGCCGAGGACAGAGCCCAGUGCCCAGAGAGGCAAUGGAGAUAACAGUGAUUCUCCGCAGACAGUAGGGACAGGGAUUUUCAUGGUGCGUGAGCAUCCGCGGCAGGUCGGGAAGAGGUCGGGCUGGGGUCUCACUCCCUUCCUCCCCAGAUGAAGACCCUAAAGCACAGCCGCCAGGUUUUCAUGUCCCAGGCUCUGAACUACACCAACAGCCCCCAGCCAGGGGUGCGAGCGGCUGCUGUACUCUUCCUCGCACACACCACCUACUACAGUAGGGGAGAGGCGUGGCUCUCGACGGACGUCCUCCACUUCCUCUCCCAGAGUGAGUCCUGCCAACGGCAUCGGGGUCCUUUGUCUGCCUCUCUCUCCAUCCUAUAUUUUCCCCACCUCUCGACUCUCCCUUUCUCCCCUUCCCUCUCCUCUGUCUUGGAUUCUGUCAGUACUUUCUCCCCUCUGCCUUCUCCCCUGCUUUUUUCUCUUCUCCAUUUCUUACCUUUGAAGAUCUUCCCUCCAGUCUCCACGACUAUGCGUUUCAUUCUCCCACCUCUUCCUUGCCCUCUCUCCCCAGUCCCUGGGCCCCUCUGGCUAAGAGACUAUGGGGAGCAUUUACGGAAAGAGAGAGGGAGAACCCUCUGACAGUUGGAGAAGGAGGUGGAGGAAGAGGAAGAGGAGGAGGAGGAGAGUUUGGUUGUUUCCCAGGAAAGUGCUGCUCUGGGUUCCCAUUAACUCUCCCUUCAUUUCAGCCUUUCAACGUUUGAGAACAGACCCCCUAAGCCUGGGUCGGCCACUUUGCUGCUUCUAGCAGAAGAGAAGCCAGGCCUGAAGGGGGCCAACCUGACGGAAGAUGAGAAGAGGAUCAGGAAGAGAUGGUGGCGGGACCAGUCCUGGUGUCAGCCUGUUCCUUGGGCUCACGGAGCCCGGAGUGGCGGGGGCUUCUGAAGGAUGCGCCCACUUGGGAGAAGGCAUUGCUCCCUAACUAUCAUUGCUUCCACUCCCACUAUUUAGCACUCAUAGCAUUUUGCCCCAAACCGAAUAGGAGCUGCUGCUCGACUGAGACAGACGAAGUGGGCCCUGGUUCUCGAGGUCUGCUUAUGGAUCAUAUGCCACCCUCUCCUUCCUACGGGCCGGUGGCAGCUGCUGCCACGGGGGCGUCAGCCUGAGGAGAAGCUGAGCCUGAAAGGAGACCCUAGCAUCCUGUCCCCGCUUCGGAGGGCCUGCUCGAAAGCAGCAGGGUUCGACGUUCGAAGCCCAUAUCAUUCGCCUCUACCACCCCCUCCAGGUACUUGUCGCCGUCAUCUACCGCCCUCCCGGUCCCACCUCCGACUUCUUCAACCACCUUGACCCCUUUCUCACCUUACUUCUCUCCUUCUCUCUGCCCACUCUGAUCC
This 2049-nucleotide long non-coding RNA is filed under the name Ornithorhynchus anatinus (platypus). Its description in RNAcentral is "lncRNA (ENSOANG00000047514.1)". Lineage: Eukaryota; Metazoa; Chordata; Mammalia; Monotremata; Ornithorhynchidae. The record is from RNAcentral.